Hyaena hyaena (striped hyena) is the source of this 384-nucleotide long non-coding RNA. RefSeq lists it as uncharacterized. The transcript is spliced from 3 exons. NCBI's taxonomy places the organism in Eukaryota, Metazoa, Chordata, Mammalia, Carnivora, Hyaenidae. The record is from RefSeq and is a predicted model, not a curated record.
UUUGUUUUGAUGAUAUGAGAUUAACUUUGAUCAUUGAGUAUUCUAGUCAUCCUGAAGUCUUCUCCAGGGUGAGAAAUUAAUUGCAAGAGUUCAGGAAAGAGCUACUGAUACCAUCCUUAUUCAGAAUGUUGACUGAAAAGACAGAUACUUAUUACUCUACAAGUAAUAAUCCAGCAAUAGAAGUACUCACAUAACAAAGACGGUAAUGCCUGACUAAAGAUAUUAGAAGUCUUAAAGACUUUCAGACUUCUGCUUCUGGGAAGAUGAAGUAGAUAUACUUUCCUAUUUCUUCUGCAAAGUACAACUAAGAACAUUGGAUAUUAUAUAUAAAACACAUGACUCUGAAAGUUGAAGAAGAGAAAGCAGAAUAUUCAGGAGUGGGGG